Pelobates cultripes (western spadefoot toad) is the source of this 223-nucleotide non-coding RNA. The record is from the annotation of a GenBank genome assembly. NCBI's taxonomy places the organism in Eukaryota, Metazoa, Chordata, Amphibia, Anura, Pelobatidae.
GCACACCUGAGGGUACGAAAUUCCCUCCAAAACCCCUAAAGAACAACUAGAGAUAGCAAGGUCAAAGUACAGAUUGCGCAAAAGGUAAAAUAUAUACUAAAACCACGACAGAUAAAUGAAAACAGUAAGAUAAAAAAAAACACUUAUAAAACAUAUAAUGGUCUUAAAAGGAUAAAAUAUGGUAUACCAGAUAUAUAAAUACAGUCCCAAAACUUGUGUUCCU